Molecule: ribosomal RNA, 512 nt
Filed under: uncultured bacterium
Lineage: Bacteria
Description: partial 16S ribosomal RNA
Rfam family: Bacterial small subunit ribosomal RNA
Source: RNAcentral
GAUGAACGCUGGCGGCAUGCCUAAUACAUGCAAGUCGAACGAUAGGAAGGAAAGCUUGCUUUUCUGAAUCUAGUGGCGAACGGGUGAGUAACACGUAGGUAACCUGCCCAUGUGCCCGGGAUAACUUCUGGAAACGGAUGCUAAAACCGGAUAGGUAGCAGACAAGCAUUUGACUGCUAUUAAAGCGGCUAAGGCCAUGAACAUGGAUGGACCUGCGGUGCAUUAGCUAGUUGGUGAGGUAACGGCCCACCAAGGCGACGAUGCAUAGCCGGCCUGAGAGGGCGGACAGCCACAUUGGGACUGAGACACGGCCCAAACUCCUACGGGAGGCAGCAGUAGGGAAUUUUCGUCAAUGGGGGGAACCCUGAACGAGCAAUGCCGCGUGAGUGAGGAAGGUCUUCGGAUCGUAAAGCUCUGUUGUAAGAGAAAAACGACAUUCAUAGGGAAUGAUGAGUGAGUGAUGGUAUCUUACCAGAAAGUCACGGCUAACUACGUGCCAGCAGCCGCUGUAA